RNAcentral lists this long non-coding RNA (367 nucleotides) under Setaria italica (foxtail millet). Its description in RNAcentral is "long non-coding RNA (SITA_LNC006032)". Lineage: Eukaryota; Viridiplantae; Streptophyta; Magnoliopsida; Poales; Poaceae. The record is from RNAcentral.
UUGGGGAACGACCAAGGUGAGGUGAAUCCACUUUAGAUCUGCUAAUUGAUGUUUUUAGGAGGUUCUUGGUCCUGAGGAUUAGUGGAUUUGUUGGGGAAAACACGGUUUGAAGGUCGAUUUAAGGUGUGCUGUCCUGUAGCUCGGGCAGUGCUGCUGUCCUUGUAGUUUUGGCAACCUAAACGAUUUCUCCUCCAAAAGUGGAUCAUACAAAAGUUGUAGAGGAUUUUGAGAUGUAACUGCUGUCCAAGUUUCACAUUUUUUGGUGGAGUAUACCUUCAGUUAUUGAAUAUUGUUUGGACGCUGUUUCUGAAUGUCCAGAUUUUUGACAGCAGAUGUUCAGAGAUGUAUUAGAUGAUCUUAAGGAUGG